RNAcentral lists this ribosomal RNA (253 nucleotides) under uncultured bacterium. RNAcentral describes it as "partial 16S ribosomal RNA". It matches the Rfam family "Bacterial small subunit ribosomal RNA", at positions 524 to 776 of the family's 1533-position model. The record is from RNAcentral.
UACGAAGGGUGCAAGCGUUACUCGGAAUUACUGGGCGUAAAGCGUGCGUAGGUGGUUUGUUAAGUCUGUUGUGAAAGCCCCGGGCUCAACCUGGGAAUGGCAAUGGAUAUUGGCAGGCUAGAGUGCGGUAGAGGGUAGUGGAAUUCCCGGUGUAGCGGUGAAAUGCGCAGAUAUCAGGAGGAACACCCGUGGCGAAGGCGGCACUCUGGGACGGUACUGACGCUGAGACGCGAAAGCGUGGGGAGCGAACAGG